GACGAACGCUGGCGGCGUGCCUAACACAUGCAAGUCGAGCGAAUGAAGUUCCUUCGGGAACGGAUUUAGCGGCGGACGGGUGAGUAACACGUGGGCAACCUGCCUCAUAGAGGGGAAUAGCCUUCCGAAAGGGAGAUUAAUACCGCAUAAGAUUGUAGUACCGCAUGGUACAGCAAUUAAAGGAGUAAUCCGCUAUGAGAUGGGCCCGCGGCGCAUUAGCUAGUUGGUGAGGUAACGGCUCACCAAGGCGACGAUGCGUAGCCGACCUGAGAGGGUGAUCGGCCACAUUGGGACUGAGACACGCCCCAGACUCCUACGGGAGGCAGCAGUGGGGAAUAUUGCACAAUGGGGGAAACCCUGAUGCAGCAACGCCGCGUGAGUGAUGACGGCCUUCGGGUUGUAAAGCUCUGUCUUCAGGGACGAUAAUGACGGUACCUGAGGAGGAAGCCACGGCUAACUACGUGCCAGCAGCCGCAGUAA
This 480-nucleotide ribosomal RNA is filed under the name uncultured bacterium. RNAcentral's name for it is "partial 16S ribosomal RNA". It matches the Rfam family "Bacterial small subunit ribosomal RNA", at positions 28 to 523 of the family's 1533-position model. The record is from RNAcentral.